This 497-nucleotide ribosomal RNA is filed under the name uncultured bacterium. RNAcentral describes it as "partial 16S ribosomal RNA". It matches the Rfam family "Bacterial small subunit ribosomal RNA", at positions 28 to 507 of the family's 1533-position model. The record is from RNAcentral.
GAUGAACGCUGGCGGCGUGCCUAAUACAUGCAAGUCGAGCGAACGGACGAGAAGCUUGCUUCUCUGAUGUUAGCGGCGGACGGGUGAGUAACACGUGGAUAACCUACCUAUAAGACUGGGAUAACUUCGGGAAACCGUAGCUAAUACCGGAUAAUAUUUUGAACCGCAUGGUUCAAAAGUGAAAGACGGUCUUGCUGUCACUUAUAGAUGGAUCCGCGCUGCAUUAGCUAGUUGGUAAGGUAACGGCUUACCAAGGCAACGAUGCAUAGCCGACCUGAGAGGGUGAUCGGCCACACUGGAACUGAGACACGGUCCAGACUCCUACGGGCGGCAGCAGUAGGGAAUCUUCCGCAAUGGGCGAAAGCCUGACGGAGCAACGCCGCGUGAGUGAUGAAGGUCUUCGGAUCGUAAAACUCUGUUAUUAGGGAAGAACAUAUGUGUAAGUAACUGUGCACAUCUUGACGGUACCUAAUCAGAAAGCCACGGCUAACUACGUG